GACGAACGCUGGCGGCGUGCUUAACACAUGCAAGUCGAACGGUAAGGCCCUUCGGGGUACACGAGUGGCGAACGGGUGAGUAACACGUGGGUGAUCUGCCCUGCACUUCGGGAUAAGCCUGGGAAACUGGGUCUAAUACCGGAUAGGACCACUGCCUGCAUGGGGGGUGGUGGAAAGCUUUUGCGGUGUGGGACGGGCCCGCGGCCUAUCAGCUUGUUGGUGGGGUGAUGGCCUACCAAGGCGACGACGGGUAGCCGGCCUGAGAGGGUGACCGGCCACACUGGGACUGAGAUACGGCCCAGACUCCUACGGGAGGCAGCAGUGGGGAAUAUUGCACAAUGGGCGCAAGCCUGAUGCAGCGACGCCGCGUGAGGGAUGACGGCCUUCGGGUUGUAAACCUCUUUCAGCACCGACGAAGCGCAAGUGACGGUAGGUGCAGAAGAAGGACCGGCCAACUACGUGCCAGCCGCCGCAGUAA
Molecule: ribosomal RNA, 478 nt
Filed under: uncultured bacterium
Lineage: Bacteria
Description: partial 16S ribosomal RNA
Rfam family: Bacterial small subunit ribosomal RNA
Source: RNAcentral